RNAcentral lists this ribosomal RNA (439 nucleotides) under uncultured bacterium. RNAcentral's name for it is "partial 16S ribosomal RNA". It matches the Rfam family "Bacterial small subunit ribosomal RNA", at positions 338 to 795 of the family's 1533-position model. The record is from RNAcentral.
CCUACGGGUGGCAGCAGUGGGGGAUAUUGACAAUGGGGGAAACCCUGAUCCAGCGAUGCCGCGUGAGGGAAGAAGGUUUUCGGAUUGUAAACCUCUGUGGAGGGGGACGAUAAUGACGGUACCCCUUUAGGAAGCCACGGCUAACUACGUGCCAGCAGCCGCGGUUAUCAGUAGGUGGCGAGCGUUGUCCGGAAUUACUGGGGGGAAAGGGAGUGUAGGUGGGAAAGUAAGUCGGACGUGAAACCUAUGGGCUUAACCCAGAGACUGCUUUUGAAACUGGUUUUCUUGAGUGACGUAGAGGCAAGCGGAAUUCCUAGUGUAGCGGUGAAAUGCGUAGAUAUUAGGAAGAACACCAGUGGCGAAGGCGGCUUGCUGGGCUUUUACUGACGCUGAGGCUCGAAAGCGUGGGGAGCAAACAGGAUUAGAUACCCCUGUAGUC